Molecule: long non-coding RNA, 1763 nt
Filed under: Vigna radiata
Lineage: Eukaryota; Viridiplantae; Streptophyta; Magnoliopsida; Fabales; Fabaceae
Description: long non-coding RNA (VRAD_LNC011012)
Source: RNAcentral
AUCUAUGCUAUUGAGUCUUUAUUUUUCAGAUCUUCAUAUGUCAUGUCUAGUCAUGUGUUAAAUUGUUCUUUGUAAAUUUCUGAGUAUAAAAUUGGUUUGGCACAACCUCACUGUUUUGAUUGAGUUUUUUUCAAAAAGAUUCACAUAUAGAAGCAAUGAUCUAAAGAGCUUCUAAGAUUCAACGUUGUCUUACAGUGCAUUGGUUCACUGGAACAACUGGAAUCUGGUUGUAUUAGGCUGUUUGAUAUGAUUUCUGCAUUGUUUUGUGAAUCUGUUUGCAUCUGAAAUCUAGUUCUGCAUUGCCGUGAAGUGAUUGUGCUGUGAUGGUGAAGUUGUUUACCAUAUGAACAGUGAAUUGGCUUAAGUCAAUUGAAGUGUAGCAUCCAUUUACACUUCCAACAAUCCAGUUCUGCAGUAGUCCGAACUGCAUCAUCCUAGUUGGAAAUUUUCUCUGCUUUUUGUGGUUUUUAAAUCUGGUUUGGCACAUUAAUCUUUGCUGAACAUCUUCAAAUAUUUUCUAGAGUCUUUCUUCAAUUUGAGUGAGCUGUCUAGAACUGUUAUACCUCUUUGCAGUUCAUUUAGAAUCAUGUUUCUGAAAUUUGCAUGGUGAAUGGUUAAAAUUUUGUUGAUAAGAGCAACUCACAUGGUGAAAUUUUGAGUUACACGUUUCCAGCCUCUGCUGCCAACUUAGACACGUCUAUUUGGGUUAAACAAACUUGCUUCCAGUGCUAAAAUGAGUAUUCAUACAUCUUUGUCAAGUCUGCUGAAAUUUGGCUGAUUAUUGUGGUCAAAUUUAGUGUAAUUUGCAACUGGAAUAGCCAUAUUCUGUUUUAAGGUCAUUCAGUCUCUUUUGGCAGCUGAUAUAAGUCACAAUUGAUAAAACAAAGUUGCUCAAACAUUGAAAUUGGACUUCUAAUCACUGCUGUGCAUUUUGACCAUUCAAUCCACCAAGUUUUGGAUAUUGUUUCUGGUAUAGUUGCAGAAUCUGUUUGUGCUUAUGUGAUGAACUGUUGCAUUGAAUUUAAGUUCAUAUUGGUAGCAAAAGCUUGGUUCAAUUGAGUUAAAAACAGUGCAUGAUUAAAAUUAAGCAAAAACAUACCAUUUGCACAGUAAAAAGCUUCGAACCAGUGCCAAUCAGUCACGAAAUUUUACUCUGGUGCAGCACAGUUUCAACAGUUCAUUCAGACAUUUCAUCAAACACUUUGGUCAAUUAUUAAAUCUGAGUUGAAUUGAUCGAUUCUGCAACUUCCAAUUGUUUCUUGUUUUUUAAUCCACUUUAAAACUAUUCCUAAGUUCCUUUUGAAGUACCAGCUAUUAUUGAACCCAUUUAAUUUCUUGAUUUUUUUGCUUGAUUGGAAUUCUGCCCACCAACUGUUUGUGAUAUUCACAGUGGGCCGUUGUUGAUUGCAUCUGCUGCAGCAGUUUAUUCAUUCAAAAUUCUGCAUUAACCUUGUUGGUUAUGGAUCCGUGUGAGUGUUUUGAUGGUUGCAGAUCAGUUACAGAUGGCUUUGCAUUGCUGGUAGCAUAUUAGAAAGAGGAUUGGUGAGAGUGAAGAUUGGAUUGAAGUUGGUUUUGGCAGCAGUCAAACAAUUCUCGUUGCUGCAGCAGAAUUGUUACAGAUCUGCAUAAUUGACAGUAACCUCUGGUGCAGUUUUGACACAGAUACAGAAUUGAAAGAUUUACUUCCGCAGUUGAGAGCUUUGUGAUUGAAUCCAGCAGAUUCAAAUUCUUUGAGAGCAACCAAAGCUGCACACAUCAANNNN